ACGCUGGCGGCAGGCCUAACACAUGCAAGUCGAGCGGUAGAGAGAAGCUUGCUUCUCUUGAGAGCGGCGGACGGGUGAGUAAUGCCUAGGAAUCUGCCUGGUAGUGGGGGAUAACGUCCGGAAACGGACGCUAAUACCGCAUACGUCCUACGGGAGAAAGCAGGGGACCUUCGGGCCUUGCGCUAUCAGAUGAGCCUAGGUCGGAUUAGCUAGUUGGUGGGGUAAUGGCUCACCAAGGCGACGAUCCGUAACUGGUCUGAGAGGAUGAUCAGUCACACUGGAACUGAGACACGGUCCAGACUCCUACGGGAGGCAGCAGUGGGGAAUAUUGGACAAUGGGCGAAAGCCUGAUCCAGCCAUGCCGCGUGUGUGAAGAAGGUCUUCGGAUUGUAAAGCACUUUAAGUUGGGAGGAAGGGCAGUAAAUUAAUACUUUGCUGUUUUGACGUUACCGACAGAAUAAGCACCGGCUAACUCUGUGCCAGCAGCCGCGGUAAUACAGAGGGUGCAAGCGUUAAUCGGAAUUACUGGGCGUAAAGCGCGCGUAGGUGGUUCGUUAAGUUGGAUGUGAAAUCCCCGGGCUCAACCUGGGAACUGCAUUCAAAACUGACGAGCUAGAGUAUGGUAGAGGGUGGUGGAAUUUCCUGUGUAGCGGUGAAAUGCGUAGGUAUAGGAAGGAACACCAGUGGCGAAGGCGACCACCUGGACUGAUACUGACACUGAGGUGCGAAAGCGUGGGGAGCAAAC
Molecule: ribosomal RNA, 745 nt
Filed under: uncultured bacterium
Lineage: Bacteria
Description: bacterial SSU rRNA
Rfam family: Bacterial small subunit ribosomal RNA
Source: RNAcentral